RNAcentral lists this ribosomal RNA (513 nucleotides) under uncultured archaeon. Its description in RNAcentral is "bacterial SSU rRNA". It matches the Rfam family "Archaeal small subunit ribosomal RNA", at positions 346 to 859 of the family's 1478-position model. The record is from RNAcentral.
AACUUUACAAUGCGGGAAACCGUGAUAAGGGGACACCGAGUGCCAGCAUCCUAUGCUGGCUGUCCGGGUGUGUAAAAUACACCUGUUAGCAAGGGCCGGGCAAGACCGGUGCCAGCCGCCGCGGUAACACCGGCGGCCCGAGUGGUGAUCGUGAUUAUUGGGUCUAAAGGGUCCGUAGCCGGUUUGGUCAGUCCUCCGGGAAAUCUGACAGCUCAACUGUUAGGCUUUCGGAGGAUACUGCCAGACUUGGAACCGGGAGAGGUAAGAGGUACUACAGGGGUAGGAGUGAAAUCUUGUAAUCCCUGUGGGACCACCUGUGGCGAAGGCGUCUUACCAGAACGGGUUCGACGGUGAGGGACGAAAGCUGGGGGCACGAACCGGAUUAGAUACCCGGGUAGUCCCAGCCGUAAACGAUGCUCGCUAGGUGUCAGGCAUGGCGCGACCGUGUCUGGUGCCGCAGGGAAGCCGUGAAGCGAGCCACCUGGGAAGUACGGCCGCAAGGCUGAAACUUAA